GUGCUACAAUACGGAUGCGGUUCGACUGCGUACUACAAAAAUGAGAGACUUGAAAUGAAUCCUAAAAAAAAAAAGUUAACACUGUUCCUAAUAUAACGCUGGCUUCUGUACUGUUUCACUGCUUCCGUAAUCGUAGAGUUUAACCUUUAAUUUUAAAUCUGUCCUCAUAUAUGAAAGGGUUAUGCAAAGAGGAACACAGAAGAAGACGAAGAAGAAGAAGAAAUAAUAAAUGUAUAAUUACAAAGUGUAUAAAUAAAUGAGGAUGUCGGUGUGCUGAAACAGCUGCUAAGAGAUGAAGUAAUUCAUGAAGGAGAUGUACCCUUUCAUGAACCCUAUUGCACGUGGGAGGAGGGUUCGGUUUUAGGUUCUAUCGACCCAGGUCAGUUUCUAAUUUCUUGGUAGUUUUAAAAAAAAAACUGCUGCAACCUUUGCUCUAGAGCAAGUAAGCCUGUCCCUCGUUUAAGCAGGAUCAUUAUUAAUAACAUGCAUUCUAAUUACAGUAAAAAUCUAAAACACCUAGUUUUAUAUACUGUACACUCCACUCAUGUUUCAUGGGGGAAGUACUAUACUAUACAGUAUGGCCCCUGUCUCCCCAACACUGGGCCCUUUUCACAAAGCUUUCAACUGUGAAUAAAAUAAAAAAUAAGAUGGUCGCAUUUUUCUAGGCUGUUGUUAAAAUAAACAAACAAUAUCAAACUAUACUUUAUUAAUAAACAUUCUUUAAAUAACUCCUGAUGUUAAGGCCCCUCUGUCUUCUAAUAUACAUUUUCUAAUUGAUGACAUUGAUAGAAUGACAAUGCGACAAAAUAAGAAAGCAAUGAGGAUGGAAUGUAAAUGAAAAACACUUCAUUGAAUCAAUAGUUAACUGAAUCAACUGCAUAUUGUAAUCAAAUGUCACAUUACCUGGCAAUUCACCCCAUAAGCCACUUACUAAACAAAUGUAUCAUGACCACAAUCACGGUAUCAGCUCUCUGUUCCGAUAUACAAAGGUUCACAAAGGCAGCAUCUGUAUUAGAAUGGAUUAUCUUUAAAUUCUCCCCUCAGUAUUGCAAAUGUGCAAUGCUUGUAGAGUUUUCAAAUAUAAACGCUGUGCAACAAACAGGGUUCAAAGUUAAAUAAGGCCCAGUUUCUUAGCUUACUGAUAAUAGGACAGGCUUUCCUGUACAAAAUAAUCAUUAAAAAAAAAAAUAAAUAAAUAAUGGUAAUCUACCUGAAAAAUAUUUCUGUCAAUUAACCUUUUUUCCCCCCUUUGUUCCUACAUACUGUAGUCACCUCACACAAUUACCCCAAUACAAAAAAAAAAAAAACAAUUACCAGCUCAAUCCUCCUGGCUGAGCA
Molecule: long non-coding RNA, 1338 nt
Organism: Polyodon spathula (Mississippi paddlefish)
Lineage: Eukaryota; Metazoa; Chordata; Actinopteri; Acipenseriformes; Polyodontidae
Exons: 2
Source: RefSeq, a predicted model, not a curated record